AUGCCUCCAACAACCUGCCCAAGCUUGGCUGGCACUGGACGCCGAGUUAGCGCCCCAGCGACCAACCGCCCCGAGGCGCACUUCCCCCACCCCGGAAGAGGAGGGCGGCAAACUUCGGCAGGGGGGGUGAGGGGACGAGCUCCGGGAACCAACGCCGCCUCGCCCGCCCCGGGGAAGGGCCGGGACAGAGACCCUGGCUGCAGCCGGAGGGCUGCGGGGAAGAGAGCGCUCCUUCCCGCUACGCCAAGGCAGCGGCCGGGGCGCUCUCGCCCGGUGAGGGGCCUCGGAAAACUGCAGCAAGGCGACAGCGGGGACCCUGGGAAGUGUGCGCUGACGGAGGGUCGGGGGAAGCCCGAGCUCGCCGGCAACUACGGGGGCGAACGCGACCGUCGGCGUGCGGGACCGGCUCGCAGGAGGACGGAGGAAACGGAGCCAGGAUGGCCGGGACCUCGCAGGACGCCGGCCGCGCGCGGGGGAGUGCUGCCUGGCGGCCGGGUGAUGCCCGCGGCGGGGAGGGCUGGUGGCCGGCCCGCUUCUCCCCGGCGGGGCUCUGCAGAAGCUGAAGCGGCUGCCGGUGACAGGAAGAGAGCCGGCAGCCGUGCAAGCAAGCACCGCCUCCCCCGCCCGAGCACACACACCCGGGGCCGCCACCGCCUACCUCCCCCGCCCGCCGGCUUCCUUCCUCUGCCGGCCCGCGCUGCAGCGACGGCCUCCUGCCCGCUCGGCUCCAACGCGCCUCCAACCCGGCUGCUACCCGCGGGCCGUGCCCGAUCCGUGCUCGCCGUCUCCGACCGCUGGCCUGCCGCCCUCGCCGCGGCCACCGCUUCCUCCAACUCAGCUCCAGCUGCUCGCGACUCCUCUUCGCGAGCCGGCAGCUCCGGAGCCCAGCGCCGGCCCCGCCUCCGGCCCGGCCCCGCGCGUCCCGCCCCCGAGCUCACACCAACCAGCGCCUGCGGCCCCGCCCCUUUCCGCCCGCGGCUCUGCCCCUUUCCGCCCGCACCGCUCCGGCCUCGGAGCCGGCGGCCGGCGGUGGGGGAGUAA
Long non-coding RNA from Callithrix jacchus (white-tufted-ear marmoset), 1041 nucleotides. Lineage: Eukaryota; Metazoa; Chordata; Mammalia; Primates; Cebidae. The record is from Ensembl.